Molecule: ribosomal RNA, 1444 nt
Filed under: uncultured organism
Description: SSU rRNA
Rfam family: Bacterial small subunit ribosomal RNA
Source: RNAcentral
UUGCUACAGGCUUAACACAUGCAAGUCGAGGGGCAGCAUGGUCUUAGCUUGCUAAGGCCGAUGGCGACCGGCGCACGGGUGAGUAACACGUAUCCAACCUGCCGUCUACUCUUGGACAGCCUUCUGAAAGGAAGAUUAAUACAAGAUGGCAUCAUGAGUCCACAUGUUCACAUGAUUAAAGGUAUUCCGGUGGACGAUGGGGAUGCGUUCCAUUAGAUAGUAGGCGGGGUAACGGCCCACCUAGUCUUCGAUGGAUAGGGGUUCUGAGAGGAAGGUCCCCCACAUUGGAACUGAGACACGGUCCAAACUCCUACGGGAGGCAGCAGUGAGGAAUAUUGGUCAAUGGGCGAGAGCCUGAACCAGCCAAGUAGCGUGAAGGAUGACUGCCCUAUGGGUUGUAAACUUCUUUUAUAAAGGAAUAAAGUCGGGUAUGGAUACCCGUUUGCAUGUACUUUAUGAAUAAGGAUCGGCUAACUCCGUGCCAGCAGCCGCGGUAAUACGGAGGAUCCGAGCGUUAUCCGGAUUUAUUGGGUUUAAAGGGAGCGUAGAUGGAUGUUUAAGUCAGUUGUGAAAGUUUGCGGCUCAACCGUAAAAUUGCAGUUGAUACUGGAUAUCUUGAGUGCAGUUGAGGCAGGCGGAAUUCGUGGUGUAGCGGUGAAAUGCUUAGAUAUCACGAAGAACUCCGAUUGCGAAGGCAGCCUGCUAAGCUGCAACUGACAUUGAGGCUCGAAAGUGUGGGUAUCAAACAGGAUUAGAUACCCUGGUAGUCCACACGGUAAACGAUGAAUACUCGCUGUUUGCGAUAUACGGCAAGCGGCCAAGCGAAAGCGUUAAGUAUUCCACCUGGGGAGUACGCCGGCAACGGUGAAACUCAAAGGAAUUGACGGGGGCCCGCACAAGCGGAGGAACAUGUGGUUUAAUUCGAUGAUACGCGAGGAACCUUACCCGGGCUUAAAUUGCAGAUGAAUUACGGUGAAAGCCGUAAGCCGCAAGGCAUCUGUGAAGGUGCUGCAUGGUUGUCGUCAGCUCGUGCCGUGAGGUGUCGGCUUAAGUGCCAUAACGAGCGCAACCCUUGUUGUCAGUUACUAACAGGUUCUGCUGAGGACUCUGACAAGACUGCCAUCGUAAGAUGUGAGGAAGGUGGGGAUGACGUCAAAUCAGCACGGCCCUUACGUCCGGGGCUACACACGUGUUACAAUGGGGGGUACAGAGGGCCGCUACCACGCGAGUGGAUGCCAAUCCCAAAAACCUCUCUCAGUUCGGACUGGAGUCUGCAACCCGACUCCACGAAGCUGGAUUCGCUAGUAAUCGCGCAUCAGCCACGGCGCGGUGAAUACGUUCCCGGGCCUUGUACACACCGCCCGUCAAGCCAUGGGAGCCGGGGGUACCUGAAGUGCGUAACCGCGAGGAGCGCCCUAGGGUAAAACUGGUGACUGGGGCUAAG